AAGGGCACCACAAGAACGCGUGGAGCAUGUGGCUUAAUUUGACUCAACGCGGGGAAUCUUACUGGGUCCGGACAUACUGAGGAUUGACAGGAGUCAGUGUGCUUUUUUUUUAUUAUUUUUUUUAUUUAAAAAGUAAUAAAAAAAACACAAAAGCAUACUACAAAUAUGCUAGUCCUUUCAUGAUUGUGUGAUAGGUGGUGCAUGGCCGUUCUUAGUUCGUGAAGUGAUUUGUCUGUUUAAUUACGUUUCCGUAAAAAAGUCUGUAUACUUGUUAAUAGUAAAAAAAUUUUUUUUUUUAAAUAAUUAUUUUACUUAUUUACUUAUGUAUCAAAGGCUUUGGAAGGCAACGAACGUGACC
This 358-nucleotide ribosomal RNA is filed under the name Reticulomyxa hannae. RNAcentral describes it as "partial small subunit ribosomal RNA". It matches the Rfam family "Eukaryotic small subunit ribosomal RNA", at positions 1160 to 1451 of the family's 1831-position model. Lineage: Eukaryota; Foraminifera; Reticulomyxidae. The record is from RNAcentral.